AAGCUGAAACUCCCUUUACUAGGGAAGGAGAAAUCAUUUGGUUUCUAAAUUUUCCCUGGUAGGGUUUUUUUUCUUCAGGGAAACUUUGAACUGGGCUGUACUUUCCUUCCAAACUUUUAAUAUCCCUUCUACGGUUUCAAAGAUCUCCAGAUCUCUCUUGUCUCCAGAGCCCUGGAACCUGCUUCGAGUUUCACUGAGCAGCGGGAGCAAUGGGAGCUCUGCGGCACGGGUCAGGGUGUGGGAGUGAAGAGGUAGUGAUUGCCUGUCAGCCUUCCCCAUGAGAAACAGAUCCACGUCUUUGAGGACCCUCAGCAACUGCAGGAGCCGCACAGUUAGGUGAAUAAGUGGAAGUUUAUCAUUAAAUGCGUUGUUCUGUGGACCUAAUGAGACCUCCUUUCGUACAGUGUGUCCUUGUUGCCUUUUGCUCUCCUUCCCCUGCCUGCGCUCACUACUGAGGAAGAAGCAGCAUCUGCCCUGUGUUGAUAGAGCCUUGGAAAUACUGUUCAUGGAAUCGUAUCCUGUUUCCUUGAACCAGGUGUGAGCAUUCAACAGGAAGCACAGCAUUGAAGAGAAAACGAAACCUUAGGUCUCUACAAGGAAUAUAGAGCUCUCCACAAUGAAGGUUGAAAGCUUUCAAAGAAAAGAUUACUGCCUGAGAGCUCCACAUAUUGAAGAAAACAAGACCUAGCAAAAUGGAGAGCAGCAACACCCAACAAAGACUGUGAAAGCACCGUGUGUGCCGUUGCCACUGGAACAGCAGCUUCGUGGGAGGUAGCCGGGAAUGGAGCCUAGCUUUCCUGGAGGAAGAGUUUAAUUGCUGUUCAUCUAGAGUGAGCAACAGUUAACCAGUCAGGGUGAAUGGUUUUCUUAAAUGAACAUGGGGAAUUACAAGUCAUAGGAAGCCUGGCCGUAUUUCCAGAAGAGAACAGAGUAUUUGUCUACAGUGGUCUGUGAAAAUGUCAACUUCCCUUAGCAAAAGGAGAAGAAUUACAUGAAUUUUAAAAUAUCACAAACAUUUCAAUAUAUGUACUGUGUAUACCAUGGCUGAGACAUUUCUUGCUGGUGGUGGAAGCAGAAUUUUAUGUUUAUUCUUGAUGGUUCUGAGUGAUAAAUGUCAAUAAAAAGUGAUCCCAGCUGGCAGAAUUCUAAAUCUCUGAAAAGCAUAUUCAGCUUGAAGAAAUUGAUGGAACAAAUAUUUUUCAUAAGCCCUUGGUUUUCUACUUUUAUCUACAGUUUCUCAAUACAGAUCUGUAAUAUUUUUCCCACGCAUUUGGAAAAUGUGAAUUUCUCCUCAGAUGACUUCCUAACCUUUUUCCACCACCACUUCACCCUCAUUACUUUUCUGUCCUGAUACUUUACCUUUCUAAAGUUUUGAGUCAAGGAGUUAUCUUUGUGAAAUGCCUAGUCAAUCAUUUAAGGAUUACAAAGGCUCAUGUUUGGAGCUCUUUUUCUAGCAGAGAUUAUUAAAAAUGGACACAAGAGAAAGC
Molecule: long non-coding RNA, 1487 nt
Organism: Catharus ustulatus (Swainson's thrush)
Lineage: Eukaryota; Metazoa; Chordata; Aves; Passeriformes; Turdidae
Exons: 5
Source: RefSeq, a predicted model, not a curated record